GACCAUUCAAUGGCUGUCUUUUGUGAGCCCUUUAAUGAAAUAAGUGAGACCAUUGCUCCAGAACCAAUGAUCACAGAUCAAUCAAGAGAAUAUCUGCCAGCUGCCAUUGAAAGUCAGAUGUUGUCUACUCCAUCCCAUCCAGCUGCCAUUGAAAGUCAGAUGUUGUCUACUCCAUCCCAUCUACGCCCAUCUUUCAAUAGGCACUUCUCACAGAAGACUUUUUCUGAAGAGGAGAAGGUGCAACUGUUAGCAUCUCCUGUUCCUUCAUCAGUUUCACC
RNAcentral lists this long non-coding RNA (278 nucleotides) under Populus trichocarpa (black cottonwood). RNAcentral's name for it is "long non-coding RNA (PTRI_LNC001169)". Lineage: Eukaryota; Viridiplantae; Streptophyta; Magnoliopsida; Malpighiales; Salicaceae. The record is from RNAcentral.